Molecule: transfer RNA, 67 nt
Filed under: Melamphaus rubrocinctus
Lineage: Eukaryota; Metazoa; Arthropoda; Insecta; Hemiptera; Pyrrhocoridae
Description: tRNA-Val
Source: RNAcentral
UCAGGUUUCUUAGUGUAAGUAUUAUUUACAAUAAUAUUAUAAAUUGUGCAAUUCAAUUUAACUUGAU